GCCCUCCUGAUUGAUGCUUACCACAGGUUCUGUUCUUACUCUGACCAUAUAGAAAAAGGGGAGGCAGAGUAAGCCUAUCCCAUGUCGGCCUCAGUCCAGGCCCUGCGCCUGGUGGGUGUUACGAAUGGGAAAACAUGG
Ictidomys tridecemlineatus (thirteen-lined ground squirrel) is the source of this 138-nucleotide small nucleolar RNA. NCBI's taxonomy places the organism in Eukaryota, Metazoa, Chordata, Mammalia, Rodentia, Sciuridae. The record is from Ensembl.